Molecule: small nuclear RNA, 168 nt
Organism: Hemicordylus capensis (graceful crag lizard)
Lineage: Eukaryota; Metazoa; Chordata; Lepidosauria; Squamata; Cordylidae
Product: U1 spliceosomal RNA
Exons: 1
Source: RefSeq, a predicted model, not a curated record
AUACAAAGUGGGAGGGGAGACACCUUGAUCACGAAGGAGGUUUUCCCAGGGUGAGGCUCAUCCAUUGCACUGCGGGUGUGCUGACCCCUGCGAUUUCCCCAAAUGCGGGAAACUCGACUGCAUAAUUUGUGGUAGCUAAUCUAAAUCUAAAUCUAAUCUAAAUUUAGC